Long non-coding RNA from Bolinopsis microptera, 1205 nucleotides. RefSeq lists it as uncharacterized. The transcript has 4 exons. The record is from RefSeq and is a predicted model, not a curated record. Lineage: Eukaryota; Metazoa; Ctenophora; Tentaculata; Lobata; Bolinopsidae.
ACUCAGUAUUAAUUCUCUGUCUUCAUCAGUGAUACUCUACAUUUCCCUCAGUAGUUAUUCUCCCACUCAGUAUUAACUCUCUGUAUUCAUCAGUGUUACUCGAUAUUUCCCUCAGUAGCUACUCUUCCACUCAGUAUUAACUCUCUAAAUAAAUUAUGACAAUUAUGUUAGUUAUAGAAUUUGUUUGUUUUUUAAUGACGAAGGCUGUGAAAUGUUCACAGUUCUGAUAAUGAGGAAAUCAGAAAGAUUGUUUAAAACUAGUGAUGAUGUUUAUGUCAUUAUUCUUAAUCUAAUCUAAUCUAAUCUUUGCUGCAGGUGCUUGUCACGUCACAUGCCUUAGGCUAGGAUGAUAUCCAGGUAACCAUUUUAUGGGAUCAUUUGAAACAUAAGCACCCUUCUAAACACAAGGAAGCAACUGCAAUACGUGAAUCACAGAGGGUCAAGACUCAAGAGACAAAAGUCUGAUGAAGUCGAAGCUGAGCGGAGAUCGAUGUAUCAACUGACAACAUCUAAUCAGCCCACACUGGGGGCAGUCUGGAGCGGCGCCACUGUUACUAGACUGAUGAACGUCAAAAAGAUCUAAAAAGUUGCUCCUGAAAUGGAUUAUUGAUCAGAUGCUCCCAUACACGACUGUUGAGAAUGAACAAUUUCAACAGUUUGUUGACGGUUUGAACAAGAAGUUUGACAUACCCUCAGAGAAGGUGGUGCGCACAAAACUGUUUCCUGAAUUAUAUGAUAGAGUACAGUUUAAACUGAAGAAAUUUAUUGACUGAAAGGAGCUGAUUACAGUCUGAGCUGUGAUGUUUGGUUGUCAAAAGCGCUGGAUUCCUAUUUGGGGGUCAUAAUACACUUCGUAACUACAAACUUCGAAAGAAAAGUUAUUGUACUGAGAUGCCUUCCCUAUAACCGAGCACAUACCGGCAUGGGGUCUGUCCGAAGAGAAACUUCACUGCGUUAUCAGCGACACUGCUUCAAACAUGAAAAAGGCUUUGUCCGCCUGGAUCCUGUUUUCUCCAUCUACUGAAUCUCAUCGUAAAGAAUUCUGUUUUUCUCAAAGUGGAGUUAACCGGCUUAUCAAAAAGAUCAAGAGUCUUAUCAAGGAGUUUAGAACCCCUGCAGGUAAACGUCUACUGAAUGAAAAUCAAGCAGUAGAGGCAACUCUCAUCAGACCAGUUGCAGUGGACACGAGAUGGAACAGUUAUUAC